Molecule: ribosomal RNA, 690 nt
Filed under: Bacillaceae bacterium sty-2-10-01
Lineage: Bacteria; Bacillati; Bacillota; Bacilli; Caryophanales; Bacillaceae
Description: bacterial SSU rRNA
Rfam family: Bacterial small subunit ribosomal RNA
Source: RNAcentral
CGCUGGCGGCGUGCCUAAUACAUGCAAGUCGAGCGGACAGAUGGGAGCUUGCUCCCUGAAGUCAGCGGCGGACGGGUGAGUAACACGUGGGCAACCUGCCUGUAAGACUGGGAUAACUCCGGGAAACCGGGGCUAAUACCGGAUAAUUCUUUCCCUCACAUGAGGGAAAGCUGAAAGAUGGUUUCGGCUAUCACUUACAGAUGGGCCCGCGGCGCAUUAGCUAGUUGGUGAGGUAACGGCUCACCAAGGCAACGAUGCGUAGCCGACCUGAGAGGGUGAUCGGCCACACUGGGACUGAGACACGGCCCAGACUCCUACGGGAGGCAGCAGUAGGGAAUCUUCCGCAAUGGACGAAAGUCUGACGGAGCAACGCCGCGUGAGUGAUGAAGGUUUUCGGAUCGUAAAACUCUGUUGUUAGGGAAGAACAAGUACCGGAGUAACUGCCGGUACCUUGACGGUACCUAACCAGAAAGCCACGGCUAACUACGUGCCAGCAGCCGCGGUAAUACGUAGGUGGCAAGCGUUGUCCGGAAUUAUUGGGCGUAAAGCGCGCGCAGGCGGUUCCUUAAGUCUGAUGUGAAAGCCCCCGGCUCAACCGGGGAGGGUCAUUGGAAACUGGGGAACUUGAGUGCAGAAAAGAAGAGUGGAAUUCCACGUGUAGCGGUGAAAUGCGUAGAGAUGUGGAGGAAC